RNAcentral lists this ribosomal RNA (491 nucleotides) under uncultured bacterium. RNAcentral's name for it is "partial 16S ribosomal RNA". It matches the Rfam family "Bacterial small subunit ribosomal RNA", at positions 29 to 507 of the family's 1533-position model. The record is from RNAcentral.
AGUGAACGCUGGCGGUAGGCCUAACACAUGCAAGUCGAACGGCAGCACAGUAAGAGCUUGCUCUUACGGGUGGCGAGUGGCGGACGGGUGAGGAAUACAUCGGAAUCUACUUUUUCGUGGGGGAUAACGUAGGGAAACUUACGUUAUUACCCCAUACGACCUACGGGUGAAAGCAGGGGUCUUUCGGACCUUGGGCGAUUGAUGAAGCGAUGUCGGGUUAGCUAGUUGGCGGGGUAAAGGCCCACCAAGGCGACGAUCCGUAGCUGGUCUGAGAGGAUGAUCAGCCACACUGGAACUGAGACACGGUCCAGACUCCUACGGGAGGCAGCAGUGGGGAAUAUUGGACAAUGGGCGCAAGCCUGAUCCAGCCAUACCGCGUGGGUGAAGAAGGCCUUCGGGUUGUAAAGCCCUUUUGUUGGGAAAGAAAAGCAGCAGGUUAAUACCCCGCUGUUCUGACGGUACCCAAAGAAUAAGCACCGGCUAACUUCGUG